GGUGAGUGGACUAGAAAGGAUGGAAGAAUAGAACAUAUGGAUGAAGAUAUUUCAGCUAAGAAAGAAAGAUCUUAGAGUGAAACAAGACCUUCUUCCAGGAGUGAAGCAGGACCUUCUAGGUCUAUGGAAGGUAUGGAACCUAUUGAGCAAAUGAGGAUGACUCCAGAUAUGGUCAGUGCAAUCCAGAUAGUUCUUUGUUUGAGCAAAAAAUGGACAAUCUUAUUUUAGCAGUGCAGGAUAUAAGACAAGACAUUCAUAAUUUAAUCUGUCAUAUCGAAGAAUUAGAAAGAUGUUCAUCUCAUACAGAUAUUCAACAUCAGCUAGACGAGA
RNAcentral lists this long non-coding RNA (330 nucleotides) under Elaeis guineensis (African oil palm). RNAcentral's name for it is "long non-coding RNA (EGUI_LNC040977)". The record is from RNAcentral. Lineage: Eukaryota; Viridiplantae; Streptophyta; Magnoliopsida; Arecales; Arecaceae.